GAUGAAGAACCUAGCGAAAUGCGAUAACUAAUGUGAAUUGCAGAAUUCCGUGAAUCAUCGAGUCUUUGAACGCACAUUGCGCCCCCUGGUAUUCCGGGGGGCAUGCCUGUCCGAGCGUCAUUGCUGCCCAUCAAGCACGGCUUGUGUGUUGGGUCCCGUCCCCCUCUCCCGGGGGACGGACCCGAAAGGCAGCGGCGGCACCGCGUCCGGUCCUCGAGCGUAUGGGGCUUUGUCACCCGCUCUUGUAGGCCCGGCCGGCGCUUGCCGACACCCAACCAUUUUUUUCAGGUUGACCUCGGAUCAGGUAGGGAUACCCGCUGAACUUAAGCAUAUCAAUAAGCGGAGGA
This 347-nucleotide unclassified non-coding RNA is filed under the name soil metagenome. RNAcentral describes it as "partial contains 5.8S ribosomal RNA, internal transcribed spacer 2, and large subunit ribosomal RNA". The stretch from base 1 to 120 matches the Rfam family "5.8S ribosomal RNA", at positions 35 to 154 of the family's 154-position model. The record is from RNAcentral.